Molecule: long non-coding RNA, 1016 nt
Organism: Rattus norvegicus (Norway rat)
Lineage: Eukaryota; Metazoa; Chordata; Mammalia; Rodentia; Muridae
Source: RefSeq, a predicted model, not a curated record
CCCCCCCCCCCGUGCUCUCCCUCCCCACCCCCCUCCCUCCAUUACUGGACGCACCUCGCUUUGGCUAUCGUUAAGAACAAACUUGUCUUUUCUUUUUACUUUUAUAGUGACUUUAAAAGAACUUUAUCCUACUGGUUAGAGGUGGGCCAGCGGCUGCAUCUAGACCUCCCUAAAACUCCGCCAUCCCUCUCCCAAAGUCUAUCUGACAAGAGGGGACCAUCCAAACUGCCCAGCACAGCUCGGGAAAGGACAAGAACCGCCCGCUAGGGCUGGGAGCGCGGGACGCAGGUGAAAGAUAGGAGAUGGAGCUGGAGCCAAGCCGGGACUGACCGGAGCUGGCCUCUUCCCAAUGGCUUUCCGCCGGCUCCACACCGGGUCGCCACUCCGACUCCAGCGGCUGGUUCAGGAUCGGUGGCUUUUGGCCGUCCGGCCGGAAACAAGCGCCCGUUUCCGGCCGGAGCGGGUUGGCGGUGACACCCUAGCCGCCCCCGGGCCUCCUCCCGCCCGGCGCGGCCAGCCCCGCCCCGCCCCGUCCCGCCCCGCCCCGCCCCUCCCCUCCCCGCAGCAGCCCCGCCCUCAGGACCGCUUUGGGGUUGUGGCCGGUUUGGCGCUUGCCCGGCGCGUGACCCCGCGCGUUCUUGGCUCGCAUCCCCGAUCCCCUAGGCUGAAGCACUUUUGAGCGGGAGCUGGGAGCUCGGCAUGGACUGUUAAGACUUUGGGGUCGCAUCAGUUGGCGCCAGCCCUAAGGGAAGAAAUGGAAACCAGCGGAGUAGCUUUCGAAAGAGGAGGACCUAGCCCCCCUGUAAUAGGCCAUCCCUGUGCAGAUGGACCUGGGCUGUAUAAGGAAGCUGAACUGAGCAGAAACAAGAGUAAGCCAGUAAGCCGCACUCCUCCGCACUCCUCUGCAGCCUGUCUCGGUUCCUGCCUUCCGGUUCCUGCUUGAGUCCACGCCCUGAAUUCUUUCGAGGACUGACUACUAUAGUCUAUAGGAUAAAAUAAAUCUUCCUUUCCAAGUU